RNAcentral lists this ribosomal RNA (498 nucleotides) under uncultured bacterium. RNAcentral's name for it is "partial 16S ribosomal RNA". It matches the Rfam family "Bacterial small subunit ribosomal RNA", at positions 28 to 507 of the family's 1533-position model. The record is from RNAcentral.
GACGAACGCUGGCGGCGUGCCUAAUACAUGCAAGUCGAACGAGAGCGACCGGUGCUUGCACUGGUCAAUCUAGUGGCGAACGGGUGAGUAACACGUGGGUAACCUGCCCAUCAGAGGGGGAUAACAUUCGGAAACGGAUGCUAAAACCGCAUAGGUCUUCGAACCGCAUGGUUUGAAGAGGAAAAGAGGCGCAAGCUUCUGCUGAUGGAUGGACCCGCGGUGCAUUAGCUAGUUGGUGAGGUAACGGCUCACCAAGGCCGUGAUGCAUAGCCGACCUGAGAGGGUGAUCGGCCACAUUGGGACUGAGACACGGCCCAAACUCCUACGGGAGGCAGCAGUAGGGAAUCUUCCGCAAUGGACGCAAGUCUGACGGAGCAACGCCGCGUGAGUGAAGAAGGUUUUCGGAUCGUAAAACUCUGUUGUUAGAGAAGAAUAAGUGCUAGGGUAACUGUUAGCGCCUUGACGGUAUCUAACCAGAAAGCCACGGCUAACUACGUG